RNAcentral lists this long non-coding RNA (743 nucleotides) under Vulpes vulpes (red fox). Its description in RNAcentral is "lncRNA (ENSVVUG00000001763.1)". The record is from RNAcentral. Lineage: Eukaryota; Metazoa; Chordata; Mammalia; Carnivora; Canidae.
AACUUAUCCAAGUCUAUUUAUAGCCAAUACUGAACCAUUUCAUAUUUCACAACUCCCAGUUCAGAAGUGCAAUAACAUUACAACGAUAUAAUUUCAUUUACAGAACCCAUCAUAGCCUUUCUGGUACCUCAGCUACGCGGCUGUGAUGUGAACAAGGUGUUGUAGCUGUCUUUCCACUCCUGCUGGGACAGGACUCCAGGGUUCAUCCCUAAAACAGCUGGGCCAUUGGUAUCUAUUUUAUUCUCUACCCUUUGGUAAGCCUCACACAGUUUAUCAAGCACAGCCCUUGGUCAAGGACUUUUGCAGAAACCCCCCUCCACUCCAGCCUCCAAGCAAACUUUUGGGGUACUGCUCUGUGCAGUCCCUUCUCCUCUGGUGCCUGCCCUGCAGAUUCCAGCUGCCUCAGCUUCCUCAAGUCAGCAGGACCAUCUUGCUCUGCUGAUUCCAUUUCACUGGCUUCAGUACAGAAAUUCCCAAGCAUGGAGGCUGAACUUGACUUGUGGGAUAAUAGACUACCAUCAUUUGUUGGUGAAGUUCAAGCUCAUUGGUAAGAUAUUUUUUGCUACUUAUUUCAAUAUUAGUUGCAGUUUUUCGUGGCACCAGUAGGUCAGGGACAACUGAAAGCACUAUGCAUAUUUCAGUCAUCUAAGGUAAAUUCCAAAUCAUUGCUAAAACAGGCAUGUUAAUGCAGGAGGUCAAAUCGUAGAACAUAAAUGAGUGCCCAAUAAAUACUAGCCAUAUAG